RNAcentral lists this ribosomal RNA (441 nucleotides) under uncultured eukaryote. Its description in RNAcentral is "bacterial SSU rRNA". It matches the Rfam family "Eukaryotic small subunit ribosomal RNA", at positions 1220 to 1667 of the family's 1831-position model. The record is from RNAcentral.
AGGUCAGGACACGGUAAGGAUUGACGGACUGAAGGCUCUUUCUCGAUUCCGUGGAAAGUGGUGCAUGGCCGUUUUUGGUUGGUGGAUCGAUCCGUCUGGUUAAUUCCGUUAACGAACGAGACCUCGGCACUCCGAAUAGCGCGGCGGACGUCGCGGCCUCCGGGCCGUCUUCCGCACGAGCUUCUUAGAGGGACCGUCCCCCGCCGGGGAAGGAGGUGCGAGGCAACGACAGGUCUGUGAUGCCCUUAGAUGUUCUGGGCCGCACGCGCAUUACACUGACGCGUCCAAACGGGGUGACUCCCCGACCCGAAGGGGCCGGGGAAUCCGCAAGGCGCGUCGUGAUGGGGAUUGAACGUUGCAAUUGUUGUUCACGAACGAGGAAUUCCUAGUAGGCGCGGGUCAAUCAAACCCGCGCCGAUUACGUCCCUGCCCUUUGUACAC